CCGUGUUAGUUUGGACGCCCGUUCACUAGGUGGUACCUUAACACUGAGAAGUGACCGGGUUAGGUUGGAAUCGUCAUGUUCUCCAACACUUUCGAAGAGUGUAAGCAGAUGUUCCACAUUUCUUGAAUAGCACAAGCUGGAUCAAGCUCAGUAUUAACAGGAAGGUCGCAGCCUUUCUGAACUCAAGCAUCAUGGAGAACGCAAGAGUUUGCCACAUGGCAGCUAAACACCGUGUUACCUCACAGAUGAAGAUGCUCCCGGAGCUUAUCUGUUUCACACUCUUUGGCAUCUUUAGAGGAAAUCUCUACAUGGAAAUAUUUUCCAAUACACUUCGUCAAAGGACUUGAGCAGCAGCUGGAAGUCUGAGCAGACAGACUCACUGCAAAAUUUUCCCCCCACAGUGUUCUUGGGGAGGUUCGCCACGAUAAAAAUCUGGCACGAGAACGAGUCACACAAUGAGGAAUGGAAAAUAUGGUCUCUCGCCACAGUGCGCCGAGCCAGAAAGGCUUUAACUAUGAUAACAACAAAAGUGUGUAUCUGUCAGGGAAACCAAACGGUUCAUUUUCUGGAAUUAAUUCUGGUGCAGCCAAAAAGUAAACUUGAAACUUUUUUUCAUGCAGUUUUUUCUUAAAGGUCUUGAUAAUCAAGUAAAUAAUGCAACUCUACAAACACAUCUGUGACUUGACCUGAAGACAUGCAUUUGUGUUUCACAUUAAAGACAACAAAUUAUAAUUUGAUUGUGGUUUGAAAAUGAAUAAUAAAGCAAAUUUGCAUGUACACUUGUCACCUCUUUUUCCCCUGGGCUUGUAUUUGUGCCAGAGAGAGCACAACAUUUAGAAAAAAGAAGCUACAUCCUUAUACUGUUACUCCCAAAUUCUUGAUGUGGAGUAAAACUCCUUACAGUCUGGAAAAAACUGGAAGUUUGCAGCUGCCAGGAGCGUCUCUGUAUCAGGAUC
Long non-coding RNA from Mugil cephalus (flathead mullet), 956 nucleotides. RefSeq lists it as uncharacterized. The record is from RefSeq and is a predicted model, not a curated record. Lineage: Eukaryota; Metazoa; Chordata; Actinopteri; Mugiliformes; Mugilidae. The transcript has 3 exons.